RNAcentral lists this ribosomal RNA (250 nucleotides) under uncultured bacterium. Its description in RNAcentral is "partial 16S ribosomal RNA". It matches the Rfam family "Bacterial small subunit ribosomal RNA", at positions 355 to 597 of the family's 1533-position model. The record is from RNAcentral.
UGAGGAAUAUUGCACAAUGGGCGCAAGCCUGAUGCAGCCAUGCCGCGUGUAUGAAGAAGGCCUUCGGGUUGUAAAGUACUUUCAGCGAGGAGGAAGGCGUUGUAGUUAAUAGCUGCAGCGAUUGACGUUACUCGCAGAAGAAGCACCGACUAACUCCGUGCCAGCAGCCGCGGUAAUACGGAGGGUGCAAGCGUUAAUCGGAAUUACUGGGCGUAAAGCGCACGCAGGCGGUCUGUCAAGUCGGAUGUGA